AUGGCGGUCAAGCCAGCGGGAUGGGAUCGGAGACGGCGAGCAGCAGAAACGGUCUUGCUCCGCCCGACUCCUAUCGCCGCUUCCCAUCGCGACGCAGGUAUUAAUAUCCUGAAGCGCAUCUUCGCCGCGUGCGCAUCAGUUUCAGUCGGGCAUCGGCGCGCACCGGCCGUAGGCGACCAACACCAAACCCCACCUGCUCGAGGGAGGACGCAGCCCCGCCCCAAGCACUUCAUUCGGAGGAAACGGCAGCCAUGGUCGACGCCAAAGCUCGCCAGAGCAACAUCGUCCUCCAGAGGUUCCUCUCGUUCGUCUACGGCCCAUGGCUCCUCGGCUUCGGAUUGGGUAAGGGAUGUAAGGGCGGAGGACGCUUGUCAACCCAAGCGCAUGCACGGUGUCGAGAUCUUCAGGACCAGGGACGCGAGCCGCGCCCGCGCUCAGCCGCUUUGGAGCCUCGUGCGGCGCAUCAUCGUUAUCAGCUGA
RNAcentral lists this ribosomal RNA (480 nucleotides) under Triticum aestivum (bread wheat). RNAcentral describes it as "partial small subunit ribosomal RNA". Lineage: Eukaryota; Viridiplantae; Streptophyta; Magnoliopsida; Poales; Poaceae. The record is from RNAcentral.